GCAUGCUUCACCUGCAAGUCGAACGGUAACGCGGGGCAACUGGCGGCGAGUGGCGAACGGGUGAGUAAUAUAUCGGAACGUGCCCAGUAGUGGGGGAUAGCCCGGCGAAAGCGGAUUAAUACCGCAUGAGACCUGAGGGUGAAAGCGGGGGAUCGCAAGACCUCGCGCUAUUGGAGCGGCCGAUAUCAGAUUAGGUAGUUGGUGGGGUAAAAGCCUACCAAGCCGACGAUCUGUGGCUGGUCUGAGAGGACGACCAGCCACACUGGGACUGAGACACGGCCCAGACUCCUACGGGAGGCAGCAGUGGGGAAUUUUGGACAAUGGGCGCAAGCCUGAUCCAGCCAUGCCGCGUGCGGGAAGAAGGCCUUCGGGUUGUAAACCGCUUUUGUCAGGGAAGAAAUCCUUUGGGUUAAUACCUCGGAGGGAUGACGGUACCUGAAGAAUAAGCACCGGCUAACUACGUUCCAGCCGCCGCGGUAAUACGUAGGGUGCGAGCGUUAAUCGGAAUUACUGGGCGUAAAGCGUGC
Molecule: ribosomal RNA, 527 nt
Filed under: uncultured eubacterium WJGRT-91
Lineage: Bacteria
Description: bacterial SSU rRNA
Rfam family: Bacterial small subunit ribosomal RNA
Source: RNAcentral